This 292-nucleotide ribosomal RNA is filed under the name uncultured bacterium. Its description in RNAcentral is "partial 16S ribosomal RNA". It matches the Rfam family "Bacterial small subunit ribosomal RNA", at positions 505 to 796 of the family's 1533-position model. The record is from RNAcentral.
GUGCCAGCCGCCGCGGUAAAACGUAGGAGGCGAGCGUUAUCCGGAUUUACUGGGCGUAAAGCGCACGCGGGCGGCUUCGUUAGUCGGAUGUGAAAGCUCCUGGCUUAACUGGGAGAGGCCAUUCGAUACUGCGGGGCUUGAGGUUGGGAGAGGGGUGCGGAAUUCCCGGUGUAGUGGUGGAAUGCGUAGAUAUCGGGAGGAACAUCAGUGGCGAAGGCGGCACCCUGGCCCACACCUGACGCUGAGGUGCGAAAGCGUGGGUAGCAAACAGGAUUAGAAACCCCAGUAGUCC